CCUACGGGAGGCAGCAGUAGGGAAUCUUCCACAAUGGGCGAAAGCCUGAUGGAGCAACGCCGCGUGGGUGAAGAAGGUCUUCGGAUCGUAAAACCCUGUUGUUCGAGCAGAAAGUGCGUGAAAGUAACUGUUCACGUUUCGACGGUAUCUAACCAGAAAGCCACGGCUAACUACGCGCCAGCAGCCGCGGUAAUACGUAGGUGGCAAACGUUCUCCGUAUUUAUUGGGGGUAAAGGGAACGCAGGCGGUCUUUUAAGUCUGAUGGGAAAGCCUUGGGCUUAACCGGAGUAGUGCAUUGGAAACGGGGCGACUUGAGUGCAGAAGAGGAGAGUGGAACUCCAUGUGUAGCGGUGAAAUGCGUAGAUAUAUGGAAGAACACCAGUGGCGAAAGCGGCUCUCUGGUCUGUAACUGACGCUGAGGUUCGAAAGCGUGGGUAGCAAACAGGAUUAGAUACCCUUGUAGGC
Molecule: ribosomal RNA, 465 nt
Filed under: uncultured bacterium
Lineage: Bacteria
Description: partial 16S ribosomal RNA
Rfam family: Bacterial small subunit ribosomal RNA
Source: RNAcentral